This 1290-nucleotide long non-coding RNA is filed under the name Brachypodium distachyon (stiff brome). RNAcentral's name for it is "long non-coding RNA (BDIS_LNC000668)". The record is from RNAcentral. Lineage: Eukaryota; Viridiplantae; Streptophyta; Magnoliopsida; Poales; Poaceae.
CCUUCUCUCUUUUGGGGGGCGGUUGAUCCGGGCGGGCAACAAGUGCUUUUGAUCGAGGCGGAACUGCCAUUGCAGCACUUGGGGUCUUGGACUACUGCCUGCAGGCUUACACGUAAUUAGUUGUGCGCGUUCCUCAGUUCCAGAAAUUGUGUUGAAGUAUGUGGUGAUGAAAGUCAAAUCAAUGAAGAUGGUUCGAGGAGGCUUUGUGGCCUGCUGUUUGGCAGAGGGCGCCUAAAUUUUCCUAGUCUCUGCAAUUUGCUUGGAACCGUGAACCUCAUUGUGAUUUCUCCAAGUUUUCCAGGAUUUUUCCAUAAAUGUCCACAAAAUGGAAACAAAACGACUGACCCAUCACAUGAGCCUUGCCGGCCGAGAAACGGCCCGCGCGCUUGGCGCACAUUGUUGGUGGUGGGCCGUUCUGGGCCUCUUAUUUUUUCAAAGCCUGGGAGACGAAACAGAUGACAAGGUGGACUGUGGAUGUUGGACCGUAUGGAGUCAGGGUGGGCGUUCGGGUUAACCCGAGAUUUCGGGCCGGGUAAUUCGGGUAAUGAAAAAAUCGGGUUUCCAAAAUCAACACCCGAAUUUUCAGCAAACAUUAACUGAUCGGGUUCGGAUAUCGGGUAAACCGGAAUUCCCGAAAUAGCAGAAACUGAUUGAGAUUGAGUUCCAGGCGUUCUCAUUUCAGAUCAUACAGACUACAGACACUCACACUGACGACACACACAAACUUCAAGUAGCAGCUACGCACGAACAUGAAUCAAAGUACUGAGAGUAGUAGCAACAGCAGCACGGCAAAACUUCAACUCAGCCUGAAGCCUUGAACUUGCGCUGCCCCUGAACUGAACCAGAGCAUAUAGUAUGACAGCAAAACAGCCGACACUCACCAAGAAGAUGUUUCAGCUUCGGAGGUCGAAGGCUUGUGCAUGGCGGGCGACGGGCGGUGGCGUUGGGCAGCAGGCGGGCGACUCCCGCGAGGCGGCGACACGAGACGAGACUCGCCAAUUCAGGACUCGGGUGGCGGCUAGGGUUGAGUGGGGACGCGAAUGGGACGACUGGAAGGUCAGGGGAAGGGAGUAAGGGAUGCUGGGUUGGUAUGAGAUACUCUUGUGCCUAUGGGCUUGAGAGGUGUGGGCUACUGGGCUAAGCCUGAAGUUGGAAUUGGGCUGCUGGAAUUCGGGAUAGUCGAGAUUUUCGGGUACCGGGAGUUACAACCCGAAUUACCCAAACUAAUUUCGGGUUUUCCAACUUGCUACCCGAGAUUUCCGAUCGGGUUUCGGGAUUCGGGAUUUUCGG